This is a non-coding RNA of Mus musculus (house mouse), 34 nucleotides long. Lineage: Eukaryota; Metazoa; Chordata; Mammalia; Rodentia; Muridae. The record is from Rfam.
UUGUUUCUGCUUCAACAGUGUUUGAACUGAGCUG